GCGCAGCCUGGUAGCGCACCGUCAUGGGGUGUCGGGGGUCGGAGGUUCAAAUCCUCUCGUGCCGACCA
Molecule: transfer RNA, 68 nt
Filed under: Leclercia adecarboxylata
Lineage: Bacteria; Pseudomonadati; Pseudomonadota; Gammaproteobacteria; Enterobacterales; Enterobacteriaceae
Description: tRNA-Pro
Rfam family: tRNA
About the family: Transfer RNA (tRNA) molecules are approximately 80 nucleotides in length.
Source: RNAcentral